Molecule: ribosomal RNA, 567 nt
Filed under: uncultured bacterium
Lineage: Bacteria
Description: bacterial SSU rRNA
Rfam family: Bacterial small subunit ribosomal RNA
Source: RNAcentral
GAUGAACGCUGGCGGUAUGCCUUACACAUGCAAGUCGUACGAGAGUUUUUAACUCAAGUGGCGGACGGGUGAGUAACACGUAAGAAUUUGCCUUUAGGAGGGGGAUAACAACUGGAAACGGUUGCUAAUACCCCAUAUGCUUUCGAGUGAAAUGGAUUUUUCCGCCUAGAGAGAAGCUUGCGGCUGAUUAGCUUGUUGGUGAGGUAAUGGCUCACCAAGGCGACGAUCAGUAUCUGGUUUGAGAGGACGAUCAGACACACUGGAACUGAGACACGGUCCAGACUCCUACGGGAGGCAGCAGUGGGGAAUUUUCCGCAAUGGGCGAAAGCCUGACGGAGCAAUACCGCGUGAGGGAUGACGGCCUAUGGGUUGUAAACCUCUUUUUUCAGGGAGGAAUCAAUGACGUGUACCUGAAGAAUAAGCAUCGGUUAACUCCGUGCCAGCAGCCGCGGCAAGACGGAGGAUGCAAGUGUUAUCCGGAAUCACUGGGCGUAAAGCGUCUGUAGGUGGUCCAAUAAGUCAACUGUUAAAUCUUGAGGCUCAACUUCAAAAUCGCAGUCGAAACUA